RNAcentral lists this ribosomal RNA (451 nucleotides) under uncultured bacterium. RNAcentral describes it as "bacterial SSU rRNA". It matches the Rfam family "Bacterial small subunit ribosomal RNA", at positions 49 to 512 of the family's 1533-position model. The record is from RNAcentral.
CUACCAUGCAGUCGAACGAUGACUUUUGUGCUUGCACAAGAUGAUUAGUGGCGAACGGGUGAGUAACACGUGAGUAACCUGCCCCUGACUUCGGGAUAAGCCUGGGAAACUGGGUCUAAUACCGGAUAUGCACCGUGGACCGCAUGGUCCUUGGUGGAAAGACUUGUUGGUCAGGGAUGGACUCGCGGCCUAUCAGCUUGUUGGUGAGGUAAUGGCUCACCAAGGCGACGACGGGUAGCCGGCCUGAGAGGGUGACCGGCCACACUGGGACUGAGACACGGCCCAGACUCCUACGGGAGGCAGCAGUGGGGAAUAUUGCACAAUGGGCGAAAGCCUGAUGCAGCGACGCCGCGUGAGGGAUGACGGCCUUCGGGUUGUAAACCUCUUUCAGUAGGGAAGAAGCGAAAGUGACGGUACCUGCAGAAGAAGCGCCGGCUAACUACAUGCCAGC